Leopardus geoffroyi (Geoffroy's cat) is the source of this 5559-nucleotide RNA transcript. It is a transcript of the gene named testis expressed 14, intercellular bridge forming factor, with no coding region annotated. Lineage: Eukaryota; Metazoa; Chordata; Mammalia; Carnivora; Felidae. The transcript is spliced from 33 exons. The record is from RefSeq and is a predicted model, not a curated record.
CCUACACACGACAUCUCACCUCAGCCCUGCCCCUUGAGUGGAAACCUCAGAGUUAUUAAUAGGAAUGAGCUCCCUGAAUGCGGGUAACGCACACCCUGGCUAGUUACCGGUUUGGGAUAUAGAAUGGCCAUAUAAGGAUUAAUCGGUGUUUCCAUUAUAGGGUUCCACUUUCUUGGCUUUUCUUGUCGGGUGUCCCCCUUGCCUUCCCCCUUCUUUCCGGCCCUCGCCAGCGCGAGGGAUUGUGGGCCAGCCCCCCCAACGCCGCGGGGAGCACUGGGCGCCCAGUCCUCGCACACACCCACGCUUUCUCCGCGAGUCCAGUGUGAAGCCUGGUGGUUUUCGAGACCGUUGGUUCAGCGCCUACCUGGCUUAAGAAGUAGCUGGAAAAGAUGUCUAGGGCUGUUCAUCUUCCAGUCCCCUGUCCUGUUCAACUUGGUUCCUUAAGAAAUGAUUCCUUGGAAGCUCAGCUUCAUGAGUAUGUCAAACAAGGGAACUAUGUGAAAGUGAAGAAGAUUCUUAAGAAAGGAAUUUAUGUUGAUGCAGUUAACUCCCUGGGCCAGACUGCACUUUUUGUUGCGGCAUUACUAGGCCUUACGAAGGUAGUUGAUGUUCUGGUGGAUUAUGGAUCAGAUCCAAAUCACCGCUGCUUUGAUGGGAGCACCCCUGUUCAUGCAGCAGCAUUUUCAGGGAAUCAGUGGAUCCUCAGUAAACUGCUGGAUGCAGGGGGUGAUCUUCGACUCCACGACGAGAAGGGUCAAAAUCCACAGACCUGGGCCCUGACAGCAGGGAAGGAGCGCAGCACCGUGAUGGUGGAGUUCAUGCAGCGCUGUGCCUCGCACAUGCAGGCCAUCAUACAGGGCUUCUCCUAUGACCUCCUAAAGAAGAUUGACUCCCCUCAGCGGCUCAUCAGUGGCCCACCCCGGCUUGGUGGCCUCAUACAGGGAAACCCUAAUGGCUCUCCUAACCGACUGCUUAAAGCUGGAGUCAUUUCUGCACAAAAUAUCUACAGCUUUGGCUUUGGGAAGUUUUAUCUCACAGGGGGAGCACAGCUGGCCUACCUGGGAUCUCUUCCAGUAAUUGGAGAAAAGGAAGUGAUUCAAGCUGAUGAUGAGCCUACCUUCUCUUUCUUCAGUGGCCCCUACAUGGUCAUGACCAAUCUGGUGUGGAAUGGGAGCAGGGUCACAGUGAAGGAGCUGAAUCUCCCCACCCAUCCUCACUGCAGCAGGGUUCGGCUGGCUGACUUGUUAAUUGCAGAGCAGGAACACAGCAGUAAGCUGCGGCACCCGCACCUGCUACAGCUGAUGGCUGUGUGCCUGUCCCGAGACCUAGAGAAGACCCGCCUUGUUUAUGAGCGCAUCACUGUCGGCACACUGUUUGGUGUCCUCCACGAACGGCGGUCCCAGUUUCCCGUGCUCCACAUGGAGGUGAUUGUGCAUCUGCUGCUCCAGAUCUCUGACGCCCUGAGAUACUUGCAUUCCCGGGGGUUUAUCCACCGCUCCCUCAGCUCCUACGCCAUCCACAUUGUCUCUGCUGGGGAAGCAAGGCUGACCAACCUGGAGUACAUGAUGGAAAGCCAGGAUGGACAUGUACACAGGGACCUGACUCGAGUGCCCCUCCCAACCCAGCUGUACAACUGGGCUGCCCCAGAGGUGAUCUUAGAGAAGGCAGCCACAGUGAAGUCGGACAUCUACAGCUUUUCGAUGAUCAUACAGGAGAUUUUAACAGAUAACAUACCCUGGAAUGGCUUAGAUGGCUCAGUUAUUAAAGAAGCCAUAGUCUUGGGAAAUUAUUUAGAAGCUGAUGUAAGGCUUCCAAAACCUUAUUAUGAUAUUGUUAAGUCAGGCAUCCAGGUCAAGCAGAAAGACCGAACUAUGAACCUUCAAGAUAUCCGGUACAUUUUGAAGAACGACUUAAAGGAUUUUCUCGGAGCCCAGAGAACUCAGCCAACUGAGAGCCCCAAGAUGCAGAGAUAUGAACUCCAUCCUGAUGUCAAUGUUUGUCUAGGACUGAUGUCAGAACAUUUGAAAGAGACCCCUAACCUGGAAAUAAAAGAGCUAAAGGAAACAGCAGGCAGUCGGCUUCAUUCACCCACUGAGAAAGCAACACCAGAUCCUCAGGUCCUAGAUCCAGGUCUGAUGGCCAAGGAAACUCAGAACCGAGAUGCUGCUUCUCCUGCCUGCUCUGUGAUGGAAGAGGACGCCAGGGGGCCCAGCCCAGGUCAGGCUAGCCUCUGCAGCUUUGAAAUCAAUGAAAUCUACUCAGGCUGCCUGGACAGGGGAGAUAACACGAAGGAGGAGCCCCCAGGAGCUGAUUCAUCUGUUGUGGGAGCUGGACCAAGCCAAGCAGAUGAACUAAAGUCCAUGGAAGAAGAGUUGGAAAAGAUGGAGAGAGAAGCAUGCUGUUUUUAUGAUGAGGACGAGAGCUCUUCAGAAGCUGACACAGAGCUCUCCUUUGAGGACUGGGAUUGGCAAAAUGGUUCUCUUAGUUCACCCAGCCUACCUGAGCUAGCCAGAGAAGCCAAGGGCAAUGGGAGCAAUAGGCGCAUGACCGAGGAGUACAUCAGUAAGUGUGUGCUGAAUCUGAAGAUUUCACAGACAUUAAUGUACCAGAAUGCCGAUUUGCUGAGGAAUACUGAACAGAGAAUUGAUAAACUUGAGAUGAUACAAAAGGAGCAGGAGGAGUACAGGUCUUUGUGGGCUUCUUCAAGAGAGUUUACAAACAUUUAUGACUCACCUUCAGCCUUGGGCCCCCCAGCUUCCACCUAUGUUCCACCUGUCAUGCAGCUGCCGAGAGGCCAGCAGCUGGACACCAGUGGCAAUUGCCAAACCCUGACAAGAUCUUCCAUGGUGAGAGACUUUCAAGGAGGACAUUUUGGCAAAAGGUCCAGGAAAAGAAGUGACUGUGGCUGGAAACCUGUCAUCCGAGUCUCUGAAGAAAGCACUGGGGAUCAGUCAGAGAAGAGCCAUCAGCUGCCAACUUUUAGUGGACCUGGAAAACAGGGCACAAGUGAACAAUCGCAGCCCUCUCAAGGAGCCAAGCACAGUUUGGAAAGAAACAGGAGCCCAAAUACCAGCAGGAUCAGUGUGGAAUCUGUGUCUUCUGAAAUCUGUCAUACAAAGUUAAGAAAUAACGAAGAUGAUGGAGAGGUACACUUAAAAUGGAAAUUGGAGGUGAAAGAAAUGGCAGAGAGAGCAGCCACCGGGCAGCUGGCAGUACCACCAUGGCAUCCUCAGAGUAGUGCGACUUUAGAGGAUGAAGCUAAAGAUGAGCCUGAUUCCCUGCUGCAGCCCCCGCUUGGGGACCCUGAGAAAGUGGGUUGGCAGUGCACUGUAGAGUAUCCCAGGGAAAAUGAUGAGUCAAGAGAAAAUGGCAAAUGUAACAAAAUGGGUAACAGUGACUGUGACAGUGACCAGUAUGGCAAACAGCCUGGACCUCAAAGCUUCAACAGUAUCAGGCACCUGUCUCCCAGCAAAAAUGUGUAUCCAGAGCAUAGUGAAGUCUUUCAAGCAAGUUCUGACGCAUCUGUGGUCAUUGAGAAAUCUUACAGUGAUCAGUCCAUGCAAUCAACUUGUUCACCAGAGUCUUCUGAGGAUGUAACAGAUGAAUUUUUAACUCCAGACUAUGAAUAUUUUCAUUCUUCAACUGCUCAAGAAAACUUAGCUCUAGAGACUUCAAGUCCUAUAGAAGAAGUCUUUGAAGGAAUACGAGAUGCAUUUGCCCAACCUCGAGGUUCUGGUGAAGAAAAGUUCCAAAUGAGAAAAAGCCUUGGAAGGAAUGCUGAGAUUUUGACCAGGUCUCAAUUCCAACCUAUACGAAUUACUGAAGGUGAACAAGAGGAGACAUUAAAGGAAUCACCAAAGGAGCUGAAAGAGAAAGACAUAUCACUGACAGACAUUCAAGACCUGUCUAGUAUUUCCUAUGAACGAGAUGGUUCCUUUAAAGAAGUCUCAUGCAAAACACCCAAAAUAAACCAUGCACCUACAAGUGUCAGCACUCCACUCAGCCCAGGGUCAAGUUCUUCAGCUGCCAGUCGGUAUAAAGACUGCCUUGAAAGUAUCACAUUUCAGAUUAAAACAGGUUCUACCUCAUGCUGGAACAGUCAGGAAUCCAUUCAAACUUCAUCUGAUAGAUUUACAACUGUUCGAGAGAAAGCAAAGAGCCUAGAUUCCUUUCUUACUUCCUCUGAAACUGCCCCUUCAAGACUGACCGAUCUCAAAAGAUUGCCUGCAUUUACUGGGGCCGGUUCCUCCAGCAUUGCUAAGUCACCUGACACAUCAUCCCAUGCCACCCAGAGAAGGAGCCUGCAGAAAGCAUUAGUAGAAGCCAUUUCACAGCAUCAUGUUGAUGAGCUACCACCACCAUCUCAGGAGCUGCUUGACGAAAUUGAGCACUUGAAGCGACAGCAGGCCUCAUCCACAGUGUUGCGGGAGAACACAGCAAGUUAUCUGGGUGUCACUGUAAAUGAUCAAAGGCACUUAGAAGAACAAGAAACUAACAGUAAAAAAGAAGAUAGCAGUAUGCUCUGGACCAAAGAAACUCAGGAUCUAGAAGAGGACACAGAGAGAGCUCACUCUACUCUUGAUGAGGACCUAGAAAGAUGGCUACAGCCACCUGAGGACAGCACGGAGCUACAGGAUCUCCCCGGAGGCUCUACAAGGGAGGCAAAUACCAAGGAUCAAGAAGUUGGUGAAAAGAAGAGAAAAGGGGAAGAAAGCUUCAAGUCAGAGAGAAGGAAAUCAGACAGCUUUUUAGGCAAUUCUGAAGAAGCUCACACAGAGGCUGCAGAAUCUGAGAAGGAAUUAUAAACUGUGGAAUUUAAGUGGAAUCUACAAGUAAUGUGAAAGAGGAACUAAAACCCUGUUUUUGGAAGCGACUAGGUUGGUCUGAACCAUCCAGAAUAAUCGUGCUGGAUCAGAGUGACUUGUCAGACUGAUGGGAGUUGGAUCGUACAUGAACUCCUGGCCUGAGUUUGAGCAUCCUGCUUGUGAGCUCCCGUCUCUCCUCAUCUGCUUCAGUCACCAUCAGGGCAGUGAUUCUGUAGCUCACACUUUGUUCAGCUGCCACAAUAGACAGAAUGGCUGGCCCUGUCUGCACCGCACUUAACCAUCUGUUUUCAGUUCAGAUUUCUGAAAAGUGAAAGGUAGCUUUUAUUGUAAAAUUUUCUCAUUGUUCCCAGAAUGGCUUUGGUUUUGGUUUUGUUGGUACAGAUUUUUGAAAACUUUAAUUCCUGUUAUAUAAUAAAAUGUUUACCUUUAAUACCAUUUAGGUUUUAGCUGUGUAAGAUAUUUCUGUGUUUUAGUUAUUGGGAGAGGAACUGCCACCCAAAGAGGCUUCAAUAUCUGUUAUAAAGUUUGACAGAUAAGCAAUGACUGCUACCACCUCUCAUAUAAGCCAGCACCAGUCAUCCAUAUUUUAGAACAGAAAUACUGCCCUCCUCUUGGCCAGGAUUGUCAUAUUCCCAUUCCAGCUAGAAUUUACUUACAUGAUGAAAGUACAGGUCGGAGUAAAAGUCCAAGAUAUUUUGAACCCUUUAAAGUGAAUAAACAUCAUUUCUGAGUA